Molecule: ribosomal RNA, 451 nt
Filed under: uncultured Methanomicrobiales archaeon
Lineage: Archaea; Methanobacteriati; Methanobacteriota; Methanomicrobia; Methanomicrobiales
Description: bacterial SSU rRNA
Rfam family: Archaeal small subunit ribosomal RNA
Source: RNAcentral
UGGAGCCUGCGGUUUAAUCGGACUCAACGCCGGGAAACUCACCAGAUAAGACAGCUGAAUGAUAGUCGGGCUGAAGACUCUACUUGACUAGCUGAGAGGAGGUGCAUGGCCGUCGUCAGUUCGUACUGUGAAGCAUCCUGUUAAGUCAGGCAACGAGCGAGACCCACGCCAACAGUUGCCAGCUCGUCCUCCGGGAUGGUGGGGGACACUGUUGGGACCGCCUCUGCUAAAGAGGAGGAAGGAAUGGGCAACGGUAGGUCAGCAUGCCCCGAAUUAUCUGGGCUACACGCGGGCUACAAUGGGUGGGACAAUGGGUAUCGACACCGAAAGGUGAAGGCAAUCUCCUAAACCCAUCCGUAGUUCGGAUUGUGGGCUGCAACUCGCCCACAUGAAGCUGGAAUCUGUAGUAAUCGUGUCUCAAAAUGGCACGGUGAAUAUGUCCCUGCUCCUU